ACCUCACCACCAUUGCUCCUCCCCAACCAACGCCCCUGGCCCAACGCGUCCCCUCCCCCACUUACCGCCCCAUUCAAGCCCCCGCCAUCAACGCCCUCGCCUCCAACACCGCCCCGAUCAUGCUCUUUCUUGUACCCAUCUUCUCCCAUCCUCGGUCCACCGUGAAACAUCAGAGCUCUUUCUUCGAAUCCAAUAGCAGAAGCACGAGAGCAGCAUAAUUGGAUCGUUUCAUUCUUUGGAGUUUGCAAUGGCACGUGGAAUGAGAGGAAAAAUUAGAUCAACCUUAUAAUGUUGUUGGUUAUGUUGAUCGGCAAGUACUUGGAAUCAGUCAUAUGUAUCAACAUUC
Dioscorea cayenensis subsp. rotundata (Guinea yam) is the source of this 346-nucleotide long non-coding RNA. RefSeq lists it as uncharacterized. Lineage: Eukaryota; Viridiplantae; Streptophyta; Magnoliopsida; Dioscoreales; Dioscoreaceae. The record is from RefSeq and is a predicted model, not a curated record. The transcript is spliced from 3 exons.